This 235-nucleotide unclassified non-coding RNA is filed under the name Hevea brasiliensis (rubber tree). Lineage: Eukaryota; Viridiplantae; Streptophyta; Magnoliopsida; Malpighiales; Euphorbiaceae. The record is from RNAcentral.
GGCUAAUCAAGGUGUCCUGCUCUGGUGGAAGUGGAAUACCAGGUCCAGCUAUUGUCUUGGGCAGUGGGAUUUUGUUCCUGUUUCUAGCCAAUUCCAGUAAAACCUCUCUUGGUGGUGGUUGUGAGAAGCUGAAAUUUACUUUCGAUUGAAUAGCAAGCUUGACAUCAUCACAAUCAAUUGCAGAUUUGCCAGCAUGCUCACAAUAAACCUGUGCAUCUGUCAACACAUCAACAAC